AAUCAACGCUGGCGGCGUGCCUAACACAUGCAAGUCGAGCGGUAAGGCCCUUUCGGGGGUACGACGAGCGGCGAACGGGUGAGUAACACGUGGGUGACCUGCCCUCCAGCUCUGGGAUAAGCCUGGGAAACCGGGUCUAAUACUGGAUAUGACUCCAUGACGCAUGUUGUGGGGUGGAAAGCCUUGUGCGGCUGAGGAUGGGCCCGCGGCCUAUCAGCUUGUUGGUGGGGUGAUGGCCUACCAAGGCGACGACGGGUAGCCGGCCUGAGAGGGCGACCGGCCACACUGGGACUGAGACACGGCCCAGACUCCUACGGGAGGCAGCAGUGGGGAAUCUUGCGCAAUGGGCGAAAGCCUGACGCAGCGACGCCGCGUGAGGGAUGACGGCCU
This 390-nucleotide ribosomal RNA is filed under the name uncultured bacterium. RNAcentral's name for it is "bacterial SSU rRNA". It matches the Rfam family "Bacterial small subunit ribosomal RNA", at positions 28 to 417 of the family's 1533-position model. The record is from RNAcentral.